UGGCUCAGAGGUUAAAGCGUCUGCCUGGAAUGCAGGAGACCCGGGGUUUGAUCCCUG
This 57-nucleotide transfer RNA is filed under the name Ovis aries (sheep). It matches the Rfam family "tRNA", at positions 8 to 63 of the family's 71-position model. Rfam says of the family: Transfer RNA (tRNA) molecules are approximately 80 nucleotides in length. Their secondary structure includes four short double-helical elements and three loops (D, anti-codon, and T loops). Further hydrogen bonds mediate the characteristic L-shaped molecular structure. tRNAs have two regions of fundamental functional importance: the anti-codon, which is responsible for specific mRNA codon recognition, and the 3' end, to which the tRNAs corresponding amino acid is attached (by aminoacyl-tRNA synthetases). tRNAs cope with the degeneracy of the genetic code in two manners: having more than one tRNA (with a specific anti-codon) for a particular amino acid; and 'wobble' base-pairing, i.e. permitting non-standard base-pairing at the 3rd anti-codon position. The record is from Rfam by way of RNAcentral. Lineage: Eukaryota; Metazoa; Chordata; Mammalia; Artiodactyla; Bovidae.